ACAUCCUGCUCAGGCUCUGCAUGGAAGACUUCCGGGCUGACUGUGCUCAGCUCUUCUGUUUGCUAGACCUUCACGGGUUGCAACAGCAAGCAUGGACUUUGCAGACAGAAAGACUUGGGUUUGAAUCCCAGCUCUGUCACCAUCCGACUGUGUGAUAUGGGGUUUUGCAGGCUCAUCCUUGGGGCCAGGACUAUAGAGAGGCAAGUGACCAGACGCCGAAGACAAAAAUUCCUCCAGGUUCAAACUUGCCCUACCCUGCUUCGAUGCAUAAGCAGUUGACUCAAUAAAGAUGUGUCUCUGACCCAG
RNAcentral lists this long non-coding RNA (306 nucleotides) under Homo sapiens (human). RNAcentral describes it as "HSALNT0290625". Lineage: Eukaryota; Metazoa; Chordata; Mammalia; Primates; Hominidae. The record is from RNAcentral.